GAGGGUAUAGCUCAGUGGUAGAGUGCAUGUUUAGCAUGCAUGAGGCCCUGGGUUCAAUCCCUAGUAUCUCCA
This 72-nucleotide transfer RNA is filed under the name Camelus bactrianus (Bactrian camel). It matches the Rfam family "tRNA". Rfam says of the family: Transfer RNA (tRNA) molecules are approximately 80 nucleotides in length. Their secondary structure includes four short double-helical elements and three loops (D, anti-codon, and T loops). RNAcentral also lists the same sequence under 2 other names. Lineage: Eukaryota; Metazoa; Chordata; Mammalia; Artiodactyla; Camelidae. The record is from Rfam by way of RNAcentral.